GAUGAACGCUGGCGGCGUGCCUAAUACAUGCAAGUAGAACGCUGAAGCUUGGUGCUUGCACCGAGCGGAUGAGUUGCGAACGGGUGAGUAACGCGUAGGUAACCUGCCUCUUAGCGGGGGAUAACUAUUGGAAACGAUAGCUAAUACCGCAUAAAAGUCGAUAUCGCAUGAUAUUGAUUUGAAAGGUGCAAUUGCAUCACUAAGAGAUGGACCUGCGUUGUAUUAGCUAGUUGGUGAGGUAACGGCUCACCAAGGCAACGAUACAUAGCCGACCUGAGAGGGUGAUCGGCCACACUGGGACUGAGACACGGCCCAGACUCCUACGGGAGGCAGCAGUAGGGAAUCUUCGGCAAUGGGGGCAACCCUGACCGAGCAACGCCGCGUGAGUGAAGAAGGUUUUCGGAUCGUAAAGCUCUGUUGUAAGAGAAGAACGAGUGUGAGAGUGGAAAGUUCACACUGUGACGGUAACUUACCAGAAAGGGACGGCUAACUACGUGCCAGCAGCCGCGGUAAUACGUAGGUCCCGAGCGUUAUCCGGAUUUAUUGGGCGUAAAGCGAGCGCAGGCGGUUAGAUAAGUCUGAAGUUAAAGGCUGUGGCUUAACCAUAGUACGCUUUGGAAACUGUUUAACUUGAGUGCAGAAGGGGAGAGUGGAAUUCCAUGUGUAGCGGUGAAAUGCGUAGAUAUAUGGAGGAACACCGGUGGCGAAAGCGGCUCUCUGGUCUGUAACUGACGCUGAGGCUCGAAAGCGUGGGGAGCAAACAGG
RNAcentral lists this ribosomal RNA (765 nucleotides) under uncultured Streptococcus sp. RNAcentral's name for it is "bacterial SSU rRNA". It matches the Rfam family "Bacterial small subunit ribosomal RNA", at positions 28 to 776 of the family's 1533-position model. Lineage: Bacteria; Bacillati; Bacillota; Bacilli; Lactobacillales; Streptococcaceae. The record is from RNAcentral.